AUCGAUGAAGAACGCAGCGAAAUGCGAUAAGUAAUGUGAAUUGCAGAAUUCAGUGAAUCAUCGAAUCUUUGAACGCACAUUGCGCCCUCUGGUAUUCCGGAGGGCAUGCCUGUUCGAGCGUCAUUUCACCACUCAAGCCUCGCUUGGUGUUGGGCGCCGCGGUGUUCCGCGCGCCUCAAAGUCUCCGGCUGAGCUGUCCGUCUCCAAGCGUUGUGAUUUCAUUAAUCGCUUCGGGGCGCGGGCGGCCGCGGCCGUUAAAUCCUUCACAGGUUGACCUCGGAUCAGGUAGGGAUACCCGCUGAACUUAAGCAUAUCAAUAAGCGGAGGAAAAGAAACCAACAGGGAUUGCCCUAGUAACGGCGAGUGAAGCGGCAACAGCUCAAAUUUGAAAUCUGGCGCAAGCCCGAGUUGUAAUUUGUAGAGGAUGCUUCUGGGUAGCGACCGGUCUAAGUUCCUUGGAACAGGACGUCAGAGAGGGUGAGAAUCCCGUAUGUGACCGGCCCGCACCCUCCACGUAGCUCCUUCGACGAGUCGAGUUGUUUGGGAAUGCAGCUCUAAAUGGGAGGUAAAUUUCUUCUAAAGCUAAAUACCGGCCAGAGACCGAUAGCGCACAAGUAGAGUGAUCGAAAGAUGAAAAGUACUUUGGAAAGAGAGUUAAAAAGCACGUGAAAUUGUUGAAAGGGAAGCGCCUGCAAUCAGACUUCGCGGCAGUGUUCCGCCGGUCUUCUGACCGGUCCACUCGCUGUCGCGAGGCCAUCAUCGUCUCCGCCCGCCAGAUAAGACCCUGGGAAUGUGGCUCCCCCUCGGGGGAGUGUUAUAGCCCCGGGUGAUGUGGCGCGGCGGGGGCGAGGUCUGCGCUUCGGCAAGGAUGAUGGCGUAAUGGUUGUCGGCGGCCCGUCUUGAAACACGG
RNAcentral lists this ribosomal RNA (910 nucleotides) under uncultured fungus. RNAcentral's name for it is "eukaryotic LSU rRNA". The stretch from base 272 to 910 matches the Rfam family "Eukaryotic large subunit ribosomal RNA", at positions 1 to 664 of the family's 3401-position model. The record is from RNAcentral. Lineage: Eukaryota; Fungi.